This 271-nucleotide long non-coding RNA is filed under the name Mytilus galloprovincialis (Mediterranean mussel). Lineage: Eukaryota; Metazoa; Mollusca; Bivalvia; Mytilida; Mytilidae. The record is from RNAcentral.
UCUCCGAGUACCAGAAACUACCUUUUGGUAUAUUAGAAAUUACUCAAACAUGUCAAAAACACGAUGAAAAAUACCAAAUAUUUUGUAAGAAGCAUGAUUUUCCAUGUUGUAGAUGAUGCGUUACUGAAACCCAUAACGAUUGAAAAUAGAUAGAUGUAAUAGAUGACGUCAUUAAGAAUGUAAAAUCAUCAAAUGCUCUUUUAGAGAUGGAACAGAUGUUGGCAGAACUUUCAGGAAAUUUGCAAAGAAUAAGAAAAGAUCGACAAGGAAA